GGAAGUAAAAGUCGUAACAAGGUAUCUGUAGGUGAACCUGCAGAUGGAUCAUUUCGAUGAAAACCUUUUUUCUUGAGGUGUGGCUCGCACCUGUCUAACUAAAUCGAGCUACCAAAUUUUAACACGGUUGCAUCGGUUGGCUGUCAAACAGUGCGCGCGGCGAAUUCAUUUUCGCCCGCGCUCUGCGAGACGGUCGACACUUUACCAAAAACACUGUUGAUACCAUAGGAUUUGAACGUAGAUGAAACUCGACUGGUAAUGCGGUCGUCUAAAAUCUAAAAACAACUUUUGGCAACGGAUCUCUUGGUUCUCCCAUCGAUGAAGAACGCAGCGAAUUGCGAUAAGUAAUGUGAAUUGCAGAAGUGAAUCAUCGAAUCUUUGAACGCACCUUGCGCUCCCGGCAGAUCUAAUCUGGGGAGCAUGCCUGUUUGAGGGCCGCGAAUUGUUUCGAACGACAGCUUUCUUAUUUAGUUGAGAGAGCUGGCGGAUCGGUAUUGAGGGUCUUGCCAUUUUCCACGGUGGCUCCCUCGAAAUGCAUUAGCGCAUCCAUUCGAUAGGCAAGACGGACGAAAGCUCGUUAUUUCGCCCACGUCCUUCCCUGCCGGGUUUUGAUAAUAUCAGGACUUCGGAGAGGAAAGGCGCUGGGUCGAGGAGCUGGACGCGACGUUUUGCUGGUUGGAGUGCUUCUGAACCCCGCCCAUGCCUCCUUCUCCGGAAGAGGAAGGGAUUUAAUUUCAAUUCAUCGGCCUCAGAUUGGUAGGACUACCCGCUGAACUUAAGCAUAUCAAUAAGCGGAGGA
RNAcentral lists this ribosomal RNA (799 nucleotides) under Oryza sativa Japonica Group (Japanese rice). RNAcentral describes it as "eukaryotic LSU rRNA". The stretch from base 284 to 438 matches the Rfam family "5.8S ribosomal RNA". The record is from RNAcentral. Lineage: Eukaryota; Viridiplantae; Streptophyta; Magnoliopsida; Poales; Poaceae.